UCUCCAUAUUGGCUCCUGGAAGCUGUGUCACCAGGCCUGGCCUAAAAUAAAGCCUUUGCUCCCCAAAUUUUAAUUUCUUGCUUCCUUGGAUUUUAUUCUGGGGUCCGAGCUAUCAGAUUUGGGGGCUCAUCUGGGAUGGAAGCAAGAUCCCAGACUCAAUUGUGAACACCUAAAACUGAAGAGAGACUGUGCAUUCACACUCUUGGGCAAAAAGGAGUCUGAGAACUAGACGGAUCUACAUCUACUGAUAAGUAGAGAAUCAAACGCCUGUUCCCUUCCUCCUGACCUAACUGGGACCCCAAUACAGAUGAAGUCAACACUGGUUUAAUCAUCAAACAUGGGAGCAAAGACUUGUCCUUCCAAUGACACUGUGGCUAUGAGAGCUCUUCUAAUUCUGCUUUUCAAACAGCCUUCCCAGGAAUCCAGGAUGCAAAGAGAAUUUCAGAUUUUUAAGAUAUUUUAACUGAGAUUUUAUUCAUAUGGAGCAACUAUGUCUCCAGACAAACGUCAUUGUGAGAAAAGCUUCUUUUCUUGAUACAUUUUCGACUCCUUCCUUCAAGAAUUAAAAUGUUUAUUUCCAAUUGGAAUUGAGCUGUCCUUAAACUUGCUUAGGAUGGUAAAUCAACAUUGGUCCAGUUCUGAAUCCAGACCUUCAUCACUCAAGGAUCUACAGAAGAUAAACUUUGGGUUUCUAGAAGAUGCUUAUGUGCACAAUAUGUACAAGAUACAAAGCUAGAGAAUGGUCACUUCUGUAGGGAAUCAUUUCAAGAUGUUUUGCAUCUAACAGACUAAGUGAAGGGUACCAGUCACAUCAAGAAAUCUAUGCCAGUUUUUAACGUUAUUGCUAAUCUCCAGGUUGCCAAGAGAAGGCCAGAAUUUAUAUCCUCCCACCUCAGCCUCUCGGAUGACUCAGAUUACAGAUGCACACUGCCAAACUCAGCUCCUAUAGUAGGAUUUACAGUACUAGUCAACAGCUUUGCUGGCAGUGGAACCCAGGGCCUCACACAGGUGACUCCACUGUUGCCAUGGUAACUGUCUAUGGGCAAGAAUUCAAUGACAGCAUCUUAAGUGGACACACAGACCACUGUCUGUCGUCUUUCUGUACCUCUCACAGAUACUUUGAUGCAAAAGCCACAUAUUCAUUUCAUCUUGGAAAUGAACUGAAUGGUUUGAACAGUGACAUCAGAACUCAUGAAUGAGUACUUGUUCUUUCGCAUCAAAAGUAUGUUCUAUAUGGCAUCUUGGAAAUUCCCAGUGGGGUUGACGUCAUUGUUCCCCAGGAAUACUAAUCUUAAUAAUGACUCCUUGGAUUUGUUUUUUUCCAUGCCAUUCUACCUUGACUUUCAAUUCUGUGCACACAUAAGUUCUCAAAGUAAAGCCCUUCAAGUAUGCUAAUAAAUGAUCAUGAACUCA
Molecule: long non-coding RNA, 1413 nt
Organism: Cavia porcellus (domestic guinea pig)
Lineage: Eukaryota; Metazoa; Chordata; Mammalia; Rodentia; Caviidae
Exons: 8
Source: RefSeq, a predicted model, not a curated record